RNAcentral lists this ribosomal RNA (774 nucleotides) under uncultured Neocallimastigales. RNAcentral describes it as "partial large subunit ribosomal RNA". It matches the Rfam family "Eukaryotic large subunit ribosomal RNA", at positions 18 to 616 of the family's 3401-position model. The record is from RNAcentral. Lineage: Eukaryota; Fungi; Neocallimastigomycota; Neocallimastigomycetes; Neocallimastigales.
UCAGACGAUGCGUCAUGCAUAUCAAUAAGCGGAGGAAAAGAAACUAACAAGGAUUCCCCUAGUAACGGCGAGUGAAGCGGGAAGAGCUCAAAUUUGAAAUCUUAAAGGGUUUCCCUUUACGAAUUGUAGUUUAAAGAAGUGUUUUCUGUUGAGGUUUUGGUAAAAGUUCUUUGGAAUAGGACAUCAUAGAGGGUGAGAAUCCCGUAUUUGGUCAUUCCUUCUAGCUUUGUGAUACACUUUCAAAGAGUCGGAUUGUUUGGGAAUGCAGUCCAAAAUGGGUGGUAAAUUUCAUCUAAAGCUAAAUAUUGGCGAGAGACCGAUAGCGAACAAGUACCGUGAGGGAAAGAUGAAAAGAACUUUGAAAAGAGAGUUAAACAGUACGUGAAAUUGUCAAAAGGGAAGCGUUUGACACCAGUGUUGUUUUUCUGAAAAUCAAUCAAAGAACUGUUUAUGCUAAGCUGUUUAGACUUUAUCAGCUAUCUGUUUAGUUUUGAGCUUUUCUUUAAUGCACUUUUCAGUUAACAAGUCAACAUCAAUCUCUUUUGCUGUAAAAAAGCUUGAGGAAGGUGGCUUGAGAUUCGUCUUAAGUGUUUAUAGCCUCAUGCCUAUGCAGUCGGAGAGAUUGAGGUCUGCAGCGUAGAUCCUUCGGGGCUAAAUGCAUUUGUGCUAAGUUAUAGCAUUUUAUAGACAACUUGUUGACUACGAUUUGUCUUGUAGCUUACUCGCUUAUGUUAUUUUACCUACGCUUAGGAUGUUGAGCGCAUGUCUCUCUCU